Molecule: ribosomal RNA, 480 nt
Filed under: uncultured bacterium
Lineage: Bacteria
Description: partial 16S ribosomal RNA
Rfam family: Bacterial small subunit ribosomal RNA
Source: RNAcentral
GACGAACGCUGGCGGCGUGCUUAACACAUGCAAGUCGAACGGUAAGGCCCCAGCUUGCUGGGGUACACGAGUGGCGAACGGGUGAGUAACACGUGGGUGACCUGCCCCGCACUUCGGGAUAAGCCUGGGAAACUGGGUCUAAUACCGGAUAGGACCGCACCGUGAGGGUGUGGUGGAAAGUUUUUCGGUGUGGGAUGGGCCCGCGGCCUAUCAGCUUGUUGGUGGGGUAAUGGCCUACCAAGGCGGCGACGGGUAGCCGGCCUGAGAGGGUGGACGGCCACAUUGGGACUGAGACACGGCCCAGACUCCUACGGGAGGCAGCAGUGGGGAAUAUUGCACAAUGGGCGGAAGCCUGAUGCAGCGACGCCGCGUGGGGGAUGACGGCCUUCGGGUUGUAAACUCCUUUCAGCAGGGACGAAGCGCAAGUGACGGUACCUGCAGAAGAAGCACCGGCCAACUACGUGCCAGCCGCCGCAGUAA